RNAcentral lists this long non-coding RNA (293 nucleotides) under Musa acuminata (dwarf banana). RNAcentral describes it as "long non-coding RNA (MACU_LNC000962)". Lineage: Eukaryota; Viridiplantae; Streptophyta; Magnoliopsida; Zingiberales; Musaceae. The record is from RNAcentral.
UGGUGGAUACCAUGGUAUUCAUGUGAAUCACAUAAAAAGAGUGAAAAGCCACCACCCUUGCUGGUUGGCUAAUCUUGAAUGUUGAACUGAGGAGUCUUUGCCAGGUUAGGUUAGAAGGAUCAGAUCAGGGCUUGAAUUGUACACCAGCAAAUAGGUGCUAAGAAUCAACAUUUAUGGAUCAUUUAUCUUGGUUAAAGAUAUUGUACCCUAGCAAAAAUGUAACAUAUUUGUAUAGCUUCAACUCAUCUGCAAUUCUAACUGCAAACAUCUGAAGAAACAAAAAGCACAGUUUG